RNAcentral lists this unclassified non-coding RNA (225 nucleotides) under Hevea brasiliensis (rubber tree). The record is from RNAcentral. Lineage: Eukaryota; Viridiplantae; Streptophyta; Magnoliopsida; Malpighiales; Euphorbiaceae.
UGAUUAUUUUAUUAAAAGUAUAGGGUUAUUUUUUAGAAAAUAUUUUUUAAGUGAAAAAUGUUGUUGAAGAUUUUGUUUUAAUGUGAUCGAUGGGAAGGUUGGGAAAAUGAUGUUUUGUUUUAUUAAAACUUUAAUUUGUAAGUUUAAUGAUAAGUAUUUUUAUAAAGAAAUAGAUAAAAGUGAUGUGAAUUGGGAUGUUUUAGAUUUUUAGAGUAUUUUUAGGAG